GUAACUCAAAAACUAUUCAACGAAUUUGCAUGAAACUUUGAUGAAUUGUUUCUAUAUAUUGAUGUGUACUCCCUUCCCGUUUUUAUGAAUUUUAGAUUUUCAAAAAUAUAGAAGUAAAAAAUUAAGACCACUGGUACAGAACUGUACAGCUUUCAAGAACGAGAUAACCUAAUACUAAAAAGGGCCAAGAUGAAGGAGACAGAAAAGAGGCUUUCCGAAAUGGUUUUCAAAUGUAGGUGAACUAAGAUCCCUCUUUCCCAAUGCUACAGUAUUGGCUUUAAGUGCAACUU
Mytilus californianus (California mussel) is the source of this 290-nucleotide long non-coding RNA. RefSeq lists it as uncharacterized. The transcript is spliced from 2 exons. The record is from RefSeq and is a predicted model, not a curated record. Lineage: Eukaryota; Metazoa; Mollusca; Bivalvia; Mytilida; Mytilidae.